This 66-nucleotide transfer RNA is filed under the name Scincus scincus (sandfish skink). Its description in RNAcentral is "tRNA-Tyr". It matches the Rfam family "tRNA". From Rfam's summary of the family: Transfer RNA (tRNA) molecules are approximately 80 nucleotides in length. The record is from RNAcentral. Lineage: Eukaryota; Metazoa; Chordata; Lepidosauria; Squamata; Scincidae.
GGUAAGAUGGCCGAUAAGGUGGCAGGUUGUAGCCCUGUGCAUGCGGGUCGAGCCCCGUUCUUAUCA